RNAcentral lists this ribosomal RNA (253 nucleotides) under uncultured bacterium. RNAcentral's name for it is "partial 16S ribosomal RNA". It matches the Rfam family "Bacterial small subunit ribosomal RNA", at positions 524 to 776 of the family's 1533-position model. The record is from RNAcentral.
UACGGAGGAUCCAAGCGUUAUCCGGAAUCAUUGGGUUUAAAGGGUCCGUAGGCGGUUUGGUAAGUCAGUGGUGAAAGCCCAUCGCUCAACGGUGGAACGGCCAUUGAUACUGCCAGACUUGAAUUAUUAGGAAGUAACUAGAAUAUGUAGUGUAGCGGUGAAAUGCUUAGAGAUUACAUGGAAUACCAAUUGCGAAGGCAGGUUACUACUAAUGGAUUGACGCUGAUGGACGAAAGCGUGGGGAGCGAACCGG